Molecule: long non-coding RNA, 1746 nt
Filed under: Brassica napus (rape)
Lineage: Eukaryota; Viridiplantae; Streptophyta; Magnoliopsida; Brassicales; Brassicaceae
Description: long non-coding RNA (BNAP_LNC010093)
Source: RNAcentral
AGGAUAGAUCGAGUCGCAUAUAGAUUAGAAUGAUCAAGUUAUUGAAUGGUAGAGUCCUUAGGGUUAUUUUAUUUAUGGAACCGGACUCAGUUUAGAAAGGCCUAAGCUGAGAUGAAAGGAAUUAAGACUGAAUUAAUAACCUGAUUAGGACUAAGGCUAGGAUGCAUCAUGUUUUCUAUUCUUGUGUGUUGAUUUGGUGGAGUGCAGGUUCCCGUUAUCUUUAAGGAUAGUUUCAUAGCAGGAGGCUGGACUAUCUGGAUAACGGUUUGAUUUAAUUGAUUAGUAUUGAUUAUUAUUGCUUAGUUGUUUAGUAGUUAGUACUAAGGGUCUUAGGCCAUAUAGGCCGGACUACUGGUACUAUGGUUAGUCUUGUGGAGUCGAGUGUCUAGUUAGGAUCUGGAACUUUGGCUUUAGGUUAGGUUCUAGAUUGAGUUUGUUUUGUUGUGAGUGUGCCGACAGUAUUUGCGAAACCCGCCCAUACUAGGCUUGUGUAGGGGUGAUUAGUGCUCCUCGGCCUCGUACCCAGCGGGUUCAAGGAAACCCCUUAUUCGCUGAAUCGGGAAGACUCAGACGAAUGGUGUCAUGUACUAUGGCUGAGUAUUACACGACGGUGUAAUGUGGCAGUGACCCGAAGGACUGUGGGCUGUCGCGCGGUGACCCGAAUGACGGUGGGCCGCGGUCGGUUGAAAGUUCCAUCUUCUGGCCUUUGUGGUAGGAAGAUAGGAUAUUGCUGAUAGAGAGGAGGAACACGAAGUCACCAGGGCCCAGGUUAGAGUGUUGUGUUAGUGUGUCGUAGAGGGUUAUGGAACCCUUGAGUAAUGUAGCAUCGAUAUACGGUGUUACGAGUUAGAUCGAGUCGUAGAUACUCAUAGUUAUUAUUGUGAUUGUGGUUGAUUGAUUUACUUGCAGGUUCUGGCAUUAAGACCUAAGUCUGGUUUAGGUACCGGAUUAGGCUUGGUGUGUAUUUGGUUAUUGUAGGCCUGACGUUGUUCGAUCAUGUUCUUGUUUGAUUUACUUGCAGGUUCUGGCAUUAAGACCUAAGUCUGACUGCUUGUGAAGGGUGGUGGAUAUUAAAGCUAUGAGGUAUCAUUGGUUGGCCGAUCAUGUUCUUGUUUGAUUGUUGGAUCGACUAAUGAUACUUGUAUAGUCUAAGUGUCUAACACUACAUGAGUACUGAACUCUGGCGUAUAUAUGGUUAACUAAGGAUUGGUUGUUGACUUGUUUUCUUGCAGGUUCCUGUUACUUGAAGUUAGAUCAUGGCAGGAGGCCAAAUCUAACUCAGUAACGGUUUGCUUAGCCUUAGCUUUUAUUGCAUGCUAGGGCUAGAUUGAUUGUUAUUUUGGGUUGUCUGGGUUAGAGUCUAGGUUGCGGGUAGAGGCCACCAGCUCACUGAGUAACAUUAGGUUACUCAUCCAACUCCGUUGUCCUUUUUUUCAGGUCGCUUUAGGUAAGGAUGAUCGGAUAGGUUGGUGCUGGACAUUAGGACCGCCGGUGUAGAUUUUCAUGCCUUUUGUAAACGGUAUUGAGUUAUGUGUUUUGUUGGCUUGAUUUGGCAUUAGGUCGGGCUCAGUCUCGAAUUAUUCAAUGUAUGGAUAUUUCUCGAAUCAAUAAAGUAAAUGUUUUAUAUGCGCUUCAUGAGUACUCUGAUAUUUGACUAGUUCGGUCUAACACAACGUUAGGUCGUAGUACGGGUUGAAAAGCCUUAGGCCUCGAUCUAACGGAAAACGCUAACUCUUGGCCGGGUUU